UGUAAUAUAGCUCAGCAGUAGGGAACUUGCCUAGAAUGCAUAAGGCUUUGAGUUCAAUCCCCAGUACUACAA
This 72-nucleotide transfer RNA is filed under the name Fukomys damarensis (Damara mole-rat). It matches the Rfam family "tRNA". Rfam says of the family: Transfer RNA (tRNA) molecules are approximately 80 nucleotides in length. The record is from Rfam by way of RNAcentral. Lineage: Eukaryota; Metazoa; Chordata; Mammalia; Rodentia; Bathyergidae.